Long non-coding RNA from Dreissena polymorpha, 497 nucleotides. RefSeq lists it as uncharacterized. The record is from RefSeq and is a predicted model, not a curated record. NCBI's taxonomy places the organism in Eukaryota, Metazoa, Mollusca, Bivalvia, Myida, Dreissenidae. The transcript has 4 exons.
CUGACGGCAGAUAUAGCAGGCGCUUCAUUGUGUUAUUAAACGCUUAAUUAUUAAAUGAAAGUUGUUAAAGUAUUAAUAUAACUAAAUGACUUAACCGUGGACGUAAGUAGUUUAUAACAGCGAGAUUAUUAAAUCUGGACAAUUCCAUUCUCGUACGUUAGUUCGGUUGAUUGAUACGACCAGGACUGUCUGUACCCGUAUGACGAUACACCGUACACGUUCAGUGUUUCAUAAACACAGUCCAGUUAUGAACAGGGAGGAUAAUAGUCUCUAAGGCUUUUGAUUAUUCAGCUUUGAAAAUGGCAGAAGGAGACGUGGUAUAUACGCGGUCAGAGACUGGAAGCGAUCAUAGACACAGCGGCCUGUACAGCCGUCACUCUCGAAAUUAUGUGGAAAGUGUGUCCGUGGAGAUCUGUACUAUAAUGACCCGGCUGGGAUACGGCGAGGAGAUCAGGCGGUGGCGGGUUGAGAAAUAUAGGAGGCAAGAUAGGCUGAUA